CAAUCUGAACUGCAUAUUUACUUAUUUGGAUUGAAGACCAUGCAUAGUUUACAAUUACACAUUUUUAAUAAAAAUAUCUUUUCUUUUUUGUUUUGCUGACUUGCAAAUAUUUUUUCUUGUGAUAUAUAGAUUUGUUGGUGUGUAAUUGUUUUUUUAGCAAAUGUUGGAUAAUUAUAUGAUUGCAUUUUCCCUUUUUCGAUGAUUAUUUUGAAGAUAAAAAGAUUCAUUUACCAUUGGCAUGCAACUGGAGUUAAUAAUAUUUGUUUCAUUUUUUGUUUGUUCGGAUAUUGAAUUGGAAGUGGAUAAAUUUUUCUGUAGGUGCUAUUUGAUGUCGUUCCAG
Molecule: unclassified non-coding RNA, 340 nt
Filed under: Hevea brasiliensis (rubber tree)
Lineage: Eukaryota; Viridiplantae; Streptophyta; Magnoliopsida; Malpighiales; Euphorbiaceae
Source: RNAcentral